UACGUAGGUGGCAAGCGUUGUCCGGAUUUACUGGGCGUAAAGGGCGUGCAGGCGGUCUGCUAAGUCUAGGGUGAAAGCUCCCGGCUCAACUGGGAGAGGUCCUUGGGUACUGGCGGACUUGAGGGAGGUAGAGGAGAGUGGAAUUCCCGGUGUAGUGGUGAUAUGCGUAGAUAUCGAGGAAGACACCGUGGCGAAGGCGGCUCUCGUGGG
Molecule: ribosomal RNA, 210 nt
Filed under: uncultured bacterium
Lineage: Bacteria
Description: partial 16S ribosomal RNA
Rfam family: Bacterial small subunit ribosomal RNA
Source: RNAcentral